Hemicordylus capensis (graceful crag lizard) is the source of this 1386-nucleotide long non-coding RNA. RefSeq lists it as uncharacterized. The transcript has 3 exons. NCBI's taxonomy places the organism in Eukaryota, Metazoa, Chordata, Lepidosauria, Squamata, Cordylidae. The record is from RefSeq and is a predicted model, not a curated record.
CUUGAGAAACUUCAUGACUAAUUCUUUCUUGUAUCAUCUAUUAUAUUAAUUCUCCUGGGUGUGCCUUGGAAUGUGCGUCCCAGAGCCCAGCUGAUUGGCUGAGUGGCGGAUGCGCCUGUUUGGCUGAGUCGCACCCAGGAGGAUUGGCCGCCGCCGCCGCAGCCCGGCUGUGGAGGCCAGAGGUGGUGGGCUGGCCCGGCCACGGAGGCAAGGCCCAGGAGGGAGGAAAGAAAGGGGGGUAGAAGUGGGAGUGUGGAGGAGAGGUGGCUGGGCCCGGAAGCAGAGACUGGGGCAGAAGCGGAGGGGGGGGGAGGUAACCGCUGGCGCCAAAGAGCGCACAGAUGCUCUGUGUGGAGUUGGCUAGUAUUCUUCAUAAUUUGGAUUAACAUGUUAAUAGCUGUUUUACUCAGUGCAGGUGCAGAAAAAAUAUCUAAGGUGCCAUUCUUUUUCCAAGUCAAGCCACUGAACAAAGCUCCCCAGAGAACCCUGUCUCAGAGGAGGCACUUCCUGAAGGCCCAGCCAGGCUGUUACAGAUUUGGAAGGUGAAGGAGGAAUUGAACGGGGAUUAUAUGGAACCUGUGGGAGUGAGUGGUGAAGAGGUGGUGGGCUGGAGGGGUAGAAGUCACCCUUAUUAAGCCUGAUCUGGUGCAAAAGAAGCAGUACUUGCCAGGCUGGACUUAUAAGAUCAAGGGAUAAGAAGUAGGCCUCAGGCUUCUGAAGAGUAGACAGCACCUACAGAGCCCAGCCCAGAGCAAACAAUCCCAGAGACAUCAAUGCAGACAGUUGACUGCAAGGGGAGCAUGCUGCAGAAUUUCUUGCUGAACAAAAGCAGGAUGAAUCCUUGAAGGGAUUGUGGCAGGAAGCAGCGAGGACCUCCACGCAAGAUGUCACCAUAGAGCAGCAUGCCUGUACAAGAUCACCAUCAUUUGCUAGAUCCUCUUUGUCUGGAGAUGUGGUUGCAGCUGCAGCCACAUCAUGAAAUGCAAAGCUUUAGUGGAAGGCAGGAUGCCUAAUCAUUUUUCAACUCACACUUAAUAUUCCAUGGUGAAUCGGCUUUACACAGUAAGACAGUCUUGGAACCAAAAUGAGAUCCCUGAAAACCCCUUCCAGGGGUUCUGCUGUGAUCAAGAGAACUCCCUUUGCUGGUAAAGACAGUUACAUCACUGGAGUUAGGGGAUUUCUAGCAAAGAAGAAAAUUGUAUCAGACACACAGUUCCAGCAGAAUUGAAUACCUUGUAUUGCUUUGACAGAGACUUUAAUUUAUUGUGCGUUAAAAAUGUGCGCUCUCUCUCACCCCAAAACAAAGCCUUGUACGUUAUAUCUACUUUGGGGCACAUGAAGAAAAUGGCAUCUAUUUUUUAAAAAGCUGUUCAUAUUGAAUCUGUA